This 253-nucleotide ribosomal RNA is filed under the name uncultured bacterium. Its description in RNAcentral is "partial 16S ribosomal RNA". It matches the Rfam family "Bacterial small subunit ribosomal RNA", at positions 524 to 776 of the family's 1533-position model. The record is from RNAcentral.
UACGUAGGGGGCAAGCGUUGUCCGGAAUCAUUGGGCGUAAAGCGCGUGUAGGCGGCUCGAUAAGUCUGCUGUGAAAGUCCAGGGCUCAACCCUGGGAUGCCGGUGGAUACUGUCGAGCUCGAGUCCGGAAGAGGCGAGUGGAAUUCCUGGUGUAGCGGUGAAAUGCGCAGAUAUCCGGAGGAACACCGGUGGCGAAGGCGGCUUCCUGGACCGACACUGACGCUGAGGCGCGAAAGCUAGGGGAGCAAACAGG